GACGAACGCUGGCGGCGUGCUUAACACAUGCAAGUCGAACGGAAAGGCCCUGCUUUUGUGGGGUGCUCGAGUGGCGAACGGGUGAGUAACACGUGAGUAACCUGCCCUUGACUUUGGGAUAACUUCAGGAAACUGGGGCUAAUACCGGAUAGGAGCUCCUGCUGCAUGGUGGGGGUUGGAAAGUUUCGGCGGUUGGGGAUGGACUGGCGGCUUAUCAGCUUGUUGGUGGGGUAGUGGCUUACCAAGGCUUUGACGGGUAGCCGGCCUGAGAGGGUGACCGGCCACAUUGGGACUGAGAUACGGCCCAGACUCGUACGGGAGGCAGCAGUGGGGAAUAUUGCACAAUGGGCGGAAGCGUGAUGCAGCAACGCCGCGUGCGGGAUGACGGCCUUCGGGUUGUAAACCGCUUUCGCCUGUGACGAAGCGUGAGUGACGGUAAUGGGUAAAGAAGCACCGGCUAACUACGUG
Molecule: ribosomal RNA, 468 nt
Filed under: uncultured bacterium
Lineage: Bacteria
Description: partial 16S ribosomal RNA
Rfam family: Bacterial small subunit ribosomal RNA
Source: RNAcentral